GCUACACAUGCAGUCGACGCUGAGCUGUGCUGCACGGUGAUGAGUGCGACGGUGAGUACACGUGAGUAACUGCCCUGACUUCGGGAUAAGCCCGGGAAACUGGGUCUAAUACCGGAUACGACUGCCGGACGCAUGUCUGGUGGUGGAAAGUUUUUCGGUUGGGGAUGGGCUCGCGGCCUAUCAGUUUGUUGGUGAGGUAAUGGCUCACCAAGACGACGACGGGUAGCCGGCUGAGAGGGCGACCGGCCACACUGGGACUGAGACACGGCCCAGACUCCUACGGGAGGCAGCAGUGGGGAAUAUUGCACAAUGGGGGAAACCCUGAUGCAGCGACGCAGCGUGCGGGAUGACGGCCUUCGGGUUGUAAACCGCUUUCAGCAGGGAAGAAGCGCAAGUGACGGUACCUGCAGAAGAAGUACCGGCUAACUACGUGCCAGCAGCCGCGGUAAUACGUAGGGUACGAGCGUUGUCCGGAAUUAUUGGGCGUAAAGAGCUCGUAGGUGGUUGGUCACGUCUGCUGUGGAAACGCAACGCUUAACGUUGCGCGUGCAGUGGGUACGGGCUGACUAGAGUGCAGUAGGGGAGUCUGGAAUUCCUGGUGUAGCGGUGAAAUGCGCAGAUAUCAGGAGGAACACCGGUGGCGAAGGCGGGACUCUGGGCUGUAACUGACACUGAGGAGCGAAAGCAUGGGGAGCGAACAGGAUUAGAUACCCUGGUAGUCCAUGCCGUAAACGUUGGGCACUAGGUGUGGGGGGCAUUCCACGUUCUCCGCGCCGUAGCUAACGCAUUAAGUGCCCCGCCUGGGGAGUACGGUCGCAAGGCUAAAACUCAAAGGAAUUGACGGGGGCCCGCACAAGCGGCGGAGCAUGCGGAUUAAUUCGAUGCAACGCGAAGAACCUUACCAAGGCUUGACAUACACCGGACCGUCCUGGAAACAGGUCCUCUUCUUUGAAGCUGGUGUACAGGUGGUGCAUG
This 975-nucleotide ribosomal RNA is filed under the name Brevibacterium sp. RNAcentral's name for it is "bacterial SSU rRNA". It matches the Rfam family "Bacterial small subunit ribosomal RNA", at positions 48 to 1047 of the family's 1533-position model. Lineage: Bacteria; Bacillati; Actinomycetota; Actinomycetes; Micrococcales; Brevibacteriaceae. The record is from RNAcentral.